GAAUUUUGGACAAUGGGGGCAACCCUGAUCCAGCCAUCCCGCGUGUGCGAUGAAGGCCUUCGGGUUGUAAAGCACUUUUGGCAGGGAAGAAAAGGCUCUGGCUAAUACCUGGAGCUGCUGACGGUACCUGCAGAAUAAGCACCGGCUAACUACGUGCCAGCAGCCGCGGUAAUACGUAGGGUGCAAGCGUGAAUCGGAAUUACUGGGCGUAAAGCUUGCGCACGAGGGUUGGGAAGAAGGAUGUUAAAUCCCAGGGCUUAACCUUGGAAUUGGUUUAUUAACUGCCAGGCUAAGGGAUGUCAGAGGGGGGUAGAAUUCCACGUGUAGCAGUGAAAUGCGUAGAGAUGUGGAGGAAUACCGAUGGCGAAGGCAGCCCCCUGGGAUAAUACUGACGCUCAUGCACGAAAGCGUGGGGAGCAAACA
Molecule: ribosomal RNA, 423 nt
Filed under: uncultured bacterium
Lineage: Bacteria
Description: partial 16S ribosomal RNA
Rfam family: Bacterial small subunit ribosomal RNA
Source: RNAcentral